GGUUAAGCGACUAAGCGUACACGGUGGAUGCCCUGGCAGUCAGAGGCGAUGAAGGACGUGCUAAUCUGCGAUAAGCGUCGGUAAGGUGAUAUGAACCGUUAUAACCGGCGAUUUCCGAAUGGGGAAACCCAGUGUGUUUCGACACACUAUCAUUAACUGAAUCCAUAGGUUAAUGAGGCGAACCGGGGGAACUGAAACAUCUAAGUACCCCGAGGAAAAGAAAUCAACCGAGAUUCCCCCAGUAGCGGCGAGCGAACGGGGAGCAGCCCAGAGCCUGAAUCAGUGUGUGUGUUAGUGGAAGCGUCUGGAAAGGCGCGCGAUACAGGGUGACAGCCCCGUACACAAAAAUGCACAUGCUGUGAGCUCGAUGAGUAGGGCGGGACACGUGGUAUCCUGUCUGAAUAUGGGGGGACCAUCCUCCAAGGCUAAAUACUCCUGACUGACCGAUAGUGAACCAGUACCGUGAGGGAAAGGCGAAAAGAACCCCGGCGAGGGGAGUGAAAAAGAACCUGAAACCGUGUACGUACAAGCAGUGGGAGCCUCUUUAUGGGGUGACUGCGUACCUUUUGUAUAAUGGGUCAGCGACUUAUAUUCUGUAGCAAGGUUAACCGAAUAGGGGAGCCGAAGGGAAACCGAGUCUUAACUGGGCGUUAAGUUGCAGGGUAUAGACCCGAAACCCGGUGAUCUAGCCAUGGGCAGGUUGAAGGUUGGGUAACACUAACUGGAGGACCGAACCGACUAAUGUUGAAAAAUUAGCGGAUGACUUGUGGCUGGGGUGAAAGGCCAAUCAAACCGGGAGAUAGCUGGUUCUCCCCGAAAGCUAUUUAGGUAGCGCCUCGUGAACUCAUCUCCGGGGGUAGAGCACUGUUUCGGCAAGGGGGUCAUCCCGACUUACCAACCCGAUGCAAACUGCGAAUACCGGAGAAUGUUAUCACGGGAGACACACGGCGGGUGCUAACGUCCGUCGUGAAGAGGGAAACAACCCAGACCGCCAGCUAAGGUCCCAAAGUCAUGGUUAAGUGGGAAACGAUGUGGGAAGGCCCAGACAGCCAGGAUGUUGGCUUAGAAGCAGCCAUCAUUUAAAGAAAGCGUAAUAGCUCACUGGUCGAGUCGGCCUGCGCGGAAGAUGUAACGGGGCUAAACCAUGCACCGAAGCUGCGGCAGCGACACUAUGUGUUGUUGGGUAGGGGAGCGUUCUGUAAGCCUGUGAAGGUGUGCUGUGAGGCAUGCUGGAGGUAUCAGAAGUGCGAAUGCUGACAUAAGUAACGAUAAAGCGGGUGAAAAGCCCGCUCGCCGGAAGACCAAGGGUUCCUGUCCAACGUUAAUCGGGGCAGGGUGAGUCGACCCUAAGGCGAGGCCGAAAGGCGUAGUCGAUGGGAAACAGGUUAAUAUUCCUGUACUUGGUGUUACUGCGAAGGGGGGACGGAGAAGGCUAUGUUGGCCGGGCGACGGUUGUCCCGGUUUAAGCGUGUAGGCUGGUUUUCCAGGCAAAUCCGGAAAAUCAAGGCUGAGGCGUGAUGACGAGGCACUACGGUGCUGAAGCAACAAAUGCCCUGCUUCCAGGAAAAGCCUCUAAGCAUCAGGUAACAUCAAAUCGUACCCCAAACCGACACAGGUGGUCAGGUAGAGAAUACCAAGGCGCUUGAGAGAACUCGGGUGAAGGAACUAGGCAAAAUGGUGCCGUAACUUCGGGAGAAGGCACGCUGAUAUGUAGGUGAAGUCCCUCGCGGAUGGAGCUGAAAUCAGUCGAAGAUACCAGCUGGCUGCAACUGUUUAUUAAAAACACAGCACUGUGCAAACACGAAAGUGGACGUAUACGGUGUGACGCCUGCCCGGUGCCGGAAGGUUAAUUGAUGGGGUUAGCGGUAACGCGAAGCUCUUGAUCGAAGCCCCGGUAAACGGCGGCCGUAACUAUAACGGUCCUAAGGUAGCGAAAUUCCUUGUCGGGUAAGUUCCGACCUGCACGAAUGGCGUAAUGAUGGCAGGCUGUCUCCACCCGAGACUCAGUGAAAUUGAACUCGCUGUGAAGAUGCAGUGUACCCGCGGCAAGACGGAAAGACCCCGUGAACCUUUACUAUAGCUUGACACUGAACAUUGAGCCUUGAUGUGUAGGAUAGGUGGGAGGCUUUGAAGUGUGGACGCCAGUCUGCAUGGAGCCGACCUUGAAAUACCACCCUUUAAUGUUUGAUGUUCUAACGUUGGCCCCUGAUCGGGGUUGCGGACAGUGUCUGGUGGGUAGUUUGACUGGGGCGGUCUCCUCCUAAAGAGAAACGGAGGAGCACGAAGGUUGGCUAAUCCUGGUCGGACAUCAGGAGGUUAGUGCAAUGGCAUAAGCCAGCUUGACUGCGAGCGUGACGGCGCGAGCAGGUGCGAAAGCAGGUCAUAGUGAUCCGGUGGUUCUGAAUGGAAGGGCCAUCGCUCAACGGAUAAAAGGUACUCCGGGGAUAACAGGCUGAUACCGCCCAAGAGUUCAUAUCGACGGCGGUGUUUGGCACCUCGAUGUCGGCUCAUCACAUCCUGGGGCUGAAGUAGGUCCCAAGGGUAUGGCUGUUCGCCAUUUAAAGUGGUACGCGAGCUGGGUUUAGAACGUCGUGAGACAGUUCGGUCCCUAUCUGCCGUGGGCGCUGGAGAACUGAGGGGGGCUGCUCCUAGUACGAGAGGACCGGAGUGGACGCAUCACUGGUGUUCGGGUUGUCAUGCCAAUGGCACUGCCCGGUAGCUAAAUGCGGAAGAGAUAAGUGCUGAAAGCAUCUAAGCACGAAACUUGCCCCGAGAUGAGUUCUCCCUGACUCCUUGAGAGUCCUGAAGGAACGUUGAAGACGACGACGUUGAUAGGCCGGGUGUGUAAGCGCAGCGAUGCGUUGAGCUAACCGGUACUAAUGAACCGUGAGGCUUAACCUU
This 2901-nucleotide ribosomal RNA is filed under the name Escherichia coli. Its description in RNAcentral is "23S ribosomal RNA". It matches the Rfam family "Bacterial large subunit ribosomal RNA". The record is from RNAcentral. Lineage: Bacteria; Pseudomonadati; Pseudomonadota; Gammaproteobacteria; Enterobacterales; Enterobacteriaceae.